Molecule: long non-coding RNA, 843 nt
Organism: Tigriopus californicus
Lineage: Eukaryota; Metazoa; Arthropoda; Copepoda; Harpacticoida; Harpacticidae
Exons: 4
Source: RefSeq, a predicted model, not a curated record
GUUGGGGUCGUCAUUGAAGGUAUCUAGCCUUACAGGGGCAACAUGGUGCAUGGACAAAUGUCAAUGCAAGUUCGUCGUCAUUCAUAUGAAGGUGAUUCAAAUGAGUUAUCACUCUAAACAUUAGAUGUCUCUUGUACUGGAUUUUGUCUCGCCCUCGGAUUCUUGAAGGUCCUUAUCUUGGUAGGUGUAUUUGGGCAAAGUGCUGGACAUUUCGUAAGCAUCCUCAUGCUCCGGGAUUUGCGGGGGCGCUUGAGAUUGGAUCCUCUAUUCUGAGCCUCUUCAUUUAUGUAGGGCUGGUCCUCUUGGUGGAGUUCCGCUAUCAAAUCCAAAAUCCGCUUAUUUUCGUUGGAAGUAAUAUGUCGUUUGAUCUGCAACGUAUGUAACAAGACAGCAACGCUCAGAUGAGGGUUGAAAUGAUAUACGCGUAUCUAUGAAUUAUGAAUGAUUAUAAAAACAAAACCUAAAACGCACCUUGGUCGAAAGAACAGCCCGCAUGAGGAAGUAACUUCUAAUGCUGGAACUCUUGAAGACCAUGAGCAAGAUCAGAAUAAGGUUGAGUCCGCAAAUAAAGCCCAGAAUGGUGUACCAAAACCAUAAGAACACAAAUAUCUUUUCCGAGAUGAUGUUAGGUGCCAGGACGCAUAAAAAGCUAUCCUCUGUGAGAUCACCGGCUGAGCCAAACGUUUGGAACAAGCACCGAGUCAAACGAGGAAAUGUCUGGUACAAGACCAUGGAACUACUUUCACUGGAAUCGAAAACGGCCUUAACCCACCGAUAACCCAAAUCGUUGAACUCCCCAUCCAAGAAGGAAUUGUUAAAAAUGACCGAAAAGGCCAGGACCAA